CCAGCCUGCCCAGUGACAAAGUUAAACGGCCGCGGUACCCUAACCGUGCGAAGGUAGCGCAAUCACUUGUUCUUUAAAUGAGGACUAGUAUGAAUGGCAUCACGAGGGUUAUACUGUCUCCCCCUUUUAAUCAGUGAAACUGAUCUUCCCGUGAAGAAGCGGGAAUAUACAUAUAAGACGAGAAGACCCCAUGGAGCUUAAAACUCAGUAUCAACUGCCCCCUAAUACACCCACUUAAUUAAGCAGAUAUGACUACUAGUUUUCGGUUGGGGUGACCGCGGAGCAAAACAAAACCUCCACGAUGAAAGGAAUUAACCUCCUAAUCAAAGAGCCACAUCUCUAAGAAUCAACAAAUUGACAUUUAUUGAUCCAAUUUUUUUGAUCAACGAACCAAGUUACCCUGGGGAUAACAGCGCAAUCCAUUUCAAGAGCCCCUAUCGACAAAUGGGUUUACGACCUCGAUGUUGGAUCAGGGUAUCCCAGUGGUGCAGCCGCUACUAAAGGUUCGUUUGUUCAACGAUUAAAACCCUACGUGAUCUGAG
RNAcentral lists this ribosomal RNA (542 nucleotides) under Scaphiophryne spinosa. RNAcentral describes it as "partial 16S ribosomal RNA". It matches the Rfam family "Bacterial large subunit ribosomal RNA", at positions 1854 to 2609 of the family's 2925-position model. The record is from RNAcentral. Lineage: Eukaryota; Metazoa; Chordata; Amphibia; Anura; Microhylidae.